RNAcentral lists this ribosomal RNA (862 nucleotides) under uncultured Pseudomonas sp. RNAcentral describes it as "bacterial SSU rRNA". It matches the Rfam family "Bacterial small subunit ribosomal RNA", at positions 60 to 917 of the family's 1533-position model. Lineage: Bacteria; Pseudomonadati; Pseudomonadota; Gammaproteobacteria; Pseudomonadales; Pseudomonadaceae. The record is from RNAcentral.
AGUCGAGCGGAUGAGAAGAGCUUGCUCUUCGAUUCAGCGGCGGACGGGUGAGUAAUGCCUAGGAAUCUGCCUGGUAGUGGGGGACAACGUUUCGAGAGGAACGCUAAUACCGCAUACGUCCUACGGGAGAAAGCAGGGGACCUUCGGGCCUUGCGCUAUCAGAUGAGCCUAGGUCGGAUUAGCUAGUUGGUGAGGUAAUGGCUCACCAAGGCGACGAUCCGUAACUGGUCUGAGAGGAUGAUCAGUCACACUGGAACUGAGACACGGUCCAGACUCCUACGGGAGGCAGCAGUGGGGAAUAUGGGACAAUGGGCGAAGGCCUGAUCCAGCCAUGCCGCGUGUGUGAAGAAGGUCUUCGGAUUGUAAAGCACUUUAAGUUGGGAGGAAGGGCAUUAACCUAAUACGUUAGUGUUUUGACGUUACCGACAGAAUAAGCACCGGCUAACUCUGUGCCAGCAGCCGCGGUAAUACAGAGGGUGCAAGCGUUAAUCGGAAUUACUGGGCGUAAAGCGCGCGUAGGGGGUAUGUUAAGUUGGAUGUGAAAGCCCCGGGCUCAACCUGGGAACUGCAUCCAAAACUGGCAAGCUAGAGUACGGUAGAGGGUGGUGGAAUUUCCUGUGUAGCGGUGAAAUGCGUAGAUAUAGGAAGGAACACCAGUGGCGAAGGCGACCACCUGGACUGAUACUGACACUGAGGUGCGAAAGCGUGGGGAGCAAACAGGAUUAGAUACCCUGGUAGUCCACGCCGUANACGAUGUCAACUAGCCGUUGGAAUCCUUGAGAUUUUAGUGGCGCAGCUAACGCAUUAAGUUGACCGCCUGGGGAGUACGGCCGCAAGGUUAAAACUCAAAUGAAUUGACGGG